AAUAUUAUACAAUAUUCGAAUGCCUGAUCCAACCACGCGGCGUGUCAAAGAAGGUGUUCGGAUUGUAAAGCACUUUAAGUUAGGAGGAAGGGUUGUAGCGUAAUACGCUGCAAUCUUGACGUGACGGACAGAAUAAGCACCGGCUAACUCUGUGCCAGCAGCCGCGGUAAUACAGAGGGUGCAAGCGUUAAUCGAAAUUACUGAGCGUAAAGCGCGCGUAGGUGGCAAAGUAAAAUGGGUGUGAAAUCCCCGGGCUCAACCUGGGAACUGCAUCCAUAAUAAAUUCGAUAGAGUACGGUGGAGGGUAGAGGAAUUUCGUGUGUAGCGAUGAAAUGCGUAGAUAUAGGAAGGAACACCACUGGCGAAGGCGACUACCUGGACUGAGAGUGACGCUGAGGUGGGGAAGCGUGGGGAACAAACAGGAUGAGAUACCCUGGUAGUCCACACAAAA
RNAcentral lists this ribosomal RNA (451 nucleotides) under uncultured marine bacterium. Its description in RNAcentral is "bacterial SSU rRNA". It matches the Rfam family "Bacterial small subunit ribosomal RNA", at positions 360 to 804 of the family's 1533-position model. The record is from RNAcentral.